Molecule: ribosomal RNA, 447 nt
Filed under: uncultured organism
Description: partial 16S ribosomal RNA
Rfam family: Bacterial small subunit ribosomal RNA
Source: RNAcentral
ACACUCCUACGGGAGGCAGCAGUGGGGAAUAUUGGACAAUGGGCGCAAGCCUGAUCCAGCCAUGCCGCGUGAGUGAUGAAGGCCCUAGGGUUGUAAAGCUCUUUCACCGGUGAAGAUAAUGACGGUAACCGGAGAAGAAGCCCCGGCUAACUUCGUGCCAGCAGCCGCGGUAAUACGAAGGGGGCUAGCGUUGUUCGGAUUUACUGGGCGUAAAGCGCACGUAGGCGGACUAUUAAGUCAGGGGUGAAAUCCCGGGGCUCAACCCCGGAACUGCCUUUGAUACUGGUAGUCUUGAGUUCGAGAGAGGUGAGUGGAAUUCCGAGUGUAGAGGUGAAAUUCGUAGAUAUUCGGAGGAACACCAGUGGCGAAGGCGGCUCACUGGCUCGAUACUGACGCUGAGGUGCGAAAGCGUGGGGAGCAAACAGGAUUAGAAACCCUAGUAGUCCG